RNAcentral lists this ribosomal RNA (112 nucleotides) under Acanthosepion pharaonis. The record is from RNAcentral. Lineage: Eukaryota; Metazoa; Mollusca; Cephalopoda; Sepiida; Sepiidae.
UUACGGCCACAUCACGUUGAAACACCGGUUCUCGUAAGUUCACCGAAGUUAAGCAACGUCGAGCCUGGUCAGUACCUAGAUAGGUGACCGGUUGGAAAUACCGGUGUUGUAC